This 477-nucleotide ribosomal RNA is filed under the name uncultured bacterium. Its description in RNAcentral is "bacterial SSU rRNA". It matches the Rfam family "Bacterial small subunit ribosomal RNA", at positions 335 to 799 of the family's 1533-position model. The record is from RNAcentral.
ACUCCUACGGGUGGCAGCAGUGGGGAAUAUUGCACAAUGGGCGCAAGCCUGAUGCAGCCAUGCCGCGUGUGUGAAGAAGGCCCUUCGGGUUGUAAAGCACUUUCAGUUGUGAGGAAGGUGGUGUCGUUAAUAGCGGCAUCAUUUGACGUUAGCAACAGAAGAAGCACCGGCUAACCUCCGUGCCAGCAGCCGCGGUAAUACGGAGGGUGCGAGCGUUAAUCGGAAUUACUGGGCCGUAAAGCGCAUGCAGGUGGUUUGUUAAGUCAGAUGUGAAAGCCCGGGGCUCAACCUCGGAACUGCAUUUGAAACUGGCAGACUAGAGUACUGUAGAGGGGGGUAGAAUUUCAGGUGUAGCGGUGAAAUGCGUAGAGAUCUGAAGGAAUACCGGUGGCGAAGGCGGCCCCCUGGACAGAUACUGACACUCAGAUGCGAAAGCGUGGGGAGCAAACGAGGAUUAGAUACCCUGGUAGCACAGAG